UAUUUGCCAGCGAGUAAUGUCGGGAACUUUAAGGAUACUGCCAGUGACAAACUGGAGGAAGGCGGGGACGACGUCAAGUCAUCAUGGCCCUUACGGCCAGGGCUACACACGUGCUACAAUGGUCGGUACAAAGGGUUGCUACCUAGCGAUAGGAUGCUAAUCUCAAAAAGCCGAUCGUAGUCCGGAUUGGAGUCUGCAACUCGACUCCAUGAAGUCGGAAUCGCUAGUAAUCGCGGAUCAGAAUGCCGCGGUGAAUACGUUCCCGGGCCUUGUACACACCGCCCGUCACACCAUGGGAGUUUGUUGCACCAGAAGUAGCUAGCCUAACUGCAAAGAGGGCGGUUACCACGGUGUGGCCGAUGACUGGGGUGAAGUCGUAACAAGGUAGCCGUAGGGGAACCUGCGGCUGGAUCACCUCCUUAA
This 423-nucleotide ribosomal RNA is filed under the name Acinetobacter pittii. RNAcentral's name for it is "bacterial SSU rRNA". It matches the Rfam family "Bacterial small subunit ribosomal RNA", at positions 1112 to 1533 of the family's 1533-position model. Lineage: Bacteria; Pseudomonadati; Pseudomonadota; Gammaproteobacteria; Moraxellales; Moraxellaceae. The record is from RNAcentral.